CUUGGUCAUUUAGAGGAAGUAAAAGUCGUAACAAGGUUUCCGUAGGUGAACCUGCGGAAGGAUCAUUCAUAAUAAGUGUUUUAUGGCACUUUUUAAAUCCAUAUCCACCUUGUGUGCAAUGUCAGUCGAUCUUCUUCAUGGAGAUCGACCAAACAUCAACCUUUAUCUUUUAACUCUUUGUCUGAAAAAUAUUAUGAAUAAACAAUUCAAAAUACAACUUUCAACAACGGAUCUCUUGGCUCUCGCAUCGAUGAAGAACGCAGCGAAAUGCGAUACGUAAUGUGAAUUGCAGAAUUCAGUGAAUCAUCGAAUCUUUGAACGCAUAUUGCGCUCUUUGGUAUUCCGAAGAGCAUGCUUGUUUGAGUAUCAGUAAACACCUCAAAGCUUUUGGAUUUUUUAAUCGAAAAGCUUUGGACUUGAGCAAUCCCAACACCAAUCUUUUUGAGAUCGGUGGCGGGUUGCUUGAAAUGCAGGUGCAGCUGGACAUUCUCCUGAGCUAAAAGCAUAUUCAUUUAGUCCCGUCAAACGGAUUAUUACUUUUGCUGCAGCUAACAUAAAGGGAGUUUGACCGUAUUGGCUGACUGAUGCAGGAUUUCACAAGGGUCGGCAACGAUUCUUGUUAAACUCGAUCUCAAAUCAAGUAAGACUACCCGCUGAACUUAAGCAUAUCAAUAAGCGGAG
Molecule: ribosomal RNA, 681 nt
Filed under: uncultured fungus
Lineage: Eukaryota; Fungi
Description: eukaryotic LSU rRNA
Rfam family: 5.8S ribosomal RNA (bases 216-369)
Source: RNAcentral